RNAcentral lists this ribosomal RNA (492 nucleotides) under uncultured bacterium. RNAcentral's name for it is "partial 16S ribosomal RNA". It matches the Rfam family "Bacterial small subunit ribosomal RNA", at positions 29 to 507 of the family's 1533-position model. The record is from RNAcentral.
AGUGAACGCUGGCGGUAGGCCUAACGCAUGCAAGUCGAACGGCAGCACAGUAGGAGCUUGCUCUUACGGGUGGUGAGUGGCGGACGGGUGAGGAAUACAUCGGAAUCUACUUUUUCGUGGGGGAUAACGUAGGGAAACUUACGCUAAUACCGCAUACGACCUACGGGUGAAAGCAGGGGAUCUUCGGACCUUGCGCGAUUGAAUGAGCCGAUGUCGGAUUAGCUAGUUGGCGGGGUAAAGGCCCACCAAGGCGACGAUCCGUAGCUGGUCUGAGAGGAUGAUCAGCCACACUGGAACUGAGACACGGUCCAGACUCCUACGGGAGGCAGCAGUGGGGAAUAUUGGACAAUGGGCGCAAGCCUGAUCCAGCCAUACCGCGUGGGUGAAGAAGGCCUUCGGGUUGUAAAGCCCUUUUGUUGGGAAAGAAAAGCAGCAGGUUAAUACCCCGCUGUUCUGACGGUACCCAAAGAAUAAGCACCGGCUAACUUCGUG